RNAcentral lists this ribosomal RNA (2725 nucleotides) under Acinetobacter baumannii. RNAcentral's name for it is "bacterial LSU rRNA". It matches the Rfam family "Bacterial large subunit ribosomal RNA". Lineage: Bacteria; Pseudomonadati; Pseudomonadota; Gammaproteobacteria; Moraxellales; Moraxellaceae. The record is from RNAcentral.
GGGAAGUGAAACAUCUCAGUACCCUUAGGAAAAGAAAUCAAUUGAGAUUCCCUCAGUAGCGGCGAGCGAACGGGGAUCAGCCCAUUAAGUUAUGUGUGUUUUAGUGGAACGCUCUGGGAAGUGCGAACGUAGAGGGUGAUAUUCCCGUACACGAAAGGGCACACAUAAUGAUGACGAGUAGGGCGAGGCACGUGAAACCUUGUCUGAAUAUGGGGGGACCAUCCUCCAAGGCUAAAUACUCCUGACUGACCGAUAGUGAACCAGUACCGUGAGGGAAAGGCGAAAAGAACCCCUGUGAGGGGAGUGAAAUAGAUCCUGAAACCGCAUGCAUACAAGCAGUGGGAGCACCUUCGUGGUGUGACUGCGUACCUUUUGUAUAAUGGGUCAGCGACUUAUAUUCAGUAGCGAGGUUAACCGUAUAGGGGAGCCGUAGAGAAAUCGAGUCUUAAUAGGGCGUUUAGUUGCUGGGUAUAGACCCGAAACCAGGCGAUCUAUCCAUGAGCAGGUUGAAGGUUGGGUAACACUAACUGGAGGACCGAACCCACUGUCGUUGAAAAGCCAGGGGAUGACUUGUGGAUAGGGGUGAAAGGCUAAUCAAGCCUGGUGAUAGCUGGUUCUCCCCGAAAGCUAUUUAGGUAGCGCCUCGGACGAAUACCAUAGGGGGUAGAGCACUGUUUCGGCUAGGGGGUCAUCCCGACUUACCAAACCGAUGCAAACUCCGAAUACCUAUGAGUACUAUCCGGGAGACAGACUGCGGGUGCUAACGUCCGUAGUCAAGAGGAAAACAAUCCAGACCGCCAGCUAAGGCCCCAAAAUCAUAGUUAAGUGGGAAACGAUGUGGGAAGGCAUAGACAGCUAGGAGGUUGGCUUAGAAGCAGCCACCCUUUAAAGAAAGCGUAAUAGCUCACUAGUCGAGUCGGCCUGCGCGGAAGAUGUAACGGGGCUAAAACUAUGUGCCGAAGCUGCGGAUGUAUACUUUGUAUACGUGGUAGGGGAGCGUUCUGUAAGCCGAUGAAGGUGUGUUGAGAAGCAUGCUGGAGGUAUCAGAAGUGCGAAUGCUGACGUGAGUAACGACAAAACGGGUGAAAAACCCGUUCGCCGAAAGACCAAGGGUUCCAGUCCAACGUUAAUCGGGGCUGGGUGAGUCGACCCCUAAGGCGAGGCCGAAAGGCGUAGUCGAUGGGAAAAUGGUUAAUAUUCCAUUACUUCUGUGUAAUGCGAUGAGAGGACGGAGAAGGCUAAAUCAGCCUGGCGUUGGUUGUCCAGGUGAAAGGAUGUAGGCAUGUAUCUUAGGCAAAUCCGGGGUACUCUAUGCUGAGAUCUGAUAGCAAGCUGUACUUGUACAGCGAAGUGGUUGAUGCCAUGCUUCCAGGAAAAGUCUCUAAGCUUCAGUUACACAGGAAUCGUACCCGAAACCGACACAGGUGGUCAGGUCGAGUAGACCAAGGCGCUUGAGAGAACUCUGCUGAAGGAACUAGGCAAAAUGGUACCGUAACUUCGGGAGAAGGUACGCUGUUGUUGGUGAUGGAACUCGCUUCCUGAGCUGACGACAGCCGCAGAAACCAGGCCGCUGCAACUGUUUAUUAAAAACAUAGCACUCUGCAAACACGAAAGUGGACGUAUAGGGUGUGAUGCCUGCCCGGUGCUGGAAGGUUAAUUGAUGGGGUUAGCGUAAGCGAAGCUCUUGAUCGAAGCCCCAGUAAACGGCGGCCGUAACUAUAACGGUCCUAAGGUAGCGAAAUUCCUUGUCGGGUAAGUUCCGACCUGCACGAAUGGCAUAAUGAUGGCGGCGCUGUCUCCAGCAGAGGCUCAGUGAAAUCGAAAUCGCUGUGAAGAUGCAGUGUACCCGCGGCUAGACGGAAAGACCCCGUGAACCUUUACUGCAGCUUGACACUGAACUUUGACCUUACUUGUGUAGGAUAGGUGGGAGGCUUUGAAGCUGGAACGCUAGUUCCAGUGGAGCCGUCCUUGAAAUACCACCCUGGUAAUGUUGAGGUUCUAACUCUGUCCCGUGAUCCGGGACGAGGACCGUGUCUGGUGGGUAGUUUGACUGGGGCGGUCUCCUCCUAAAGAGUAACGGAGGAGUACGAAGGUGCGCUCAGCGUGGUCGGAAAUCACGCGUAGAGUAUAAAGGCAAAAGCGCGCUUAACUGCGAGACCCACAAGUCGAGCAGGUACGAAAGUAGGUCUUAGUGAUCCGGUGGUUCUGUAUGGAAGGGCCAUCGCUCAACGGAUAAAAGGUACUCUGGGGAUAACAGGCUGAUACCGCCCAAGAGUUCAUAUCGACGGCGGUGUUUGGCACCUCGAUGUCGGCUCAUCUCAUCCUGGGGCUGAAGCAGGUCCCAAGGGUAUGGCUGUUCGCCAUUUAAAGAGGUACGCGAGCUGGGUUUAGAACGUCGUGAGACAGUUCGGUCCCUAUCUACCGUGGGCGCUGGAAAUUUGAGAGGAUCUGCUCCUAGUACGAGAGGACCAGAGUGGACGAACCUCUGGUGUACCGGUUGUGACGCCAGUCGCAUCGCCGGGUAGCUAUGUUCGGAAGGGAUAACCGCUGAAAGCAUCUAAGCGGGAAGCCUACCUCAAGAUAAGAUUUCCCUAGGACUUUAUGUCCUCUAAAGAGCCGUUCGAGACUAGGACGUUGAUAGGUUGGAUGUGGAAGCAUAGUGAUAUGUGAAGCUGACCAAUACUAAUUGCUCGUGAGGCUUGACUAUACAACACCCAAGCAGUUG